Molecule: ribosomal RNA, 420 nt
Filed under: bacterium
Lineage: Bacteria
Description: partial 16S ribosomal RNA
Rfam family: Bacterial small subunit ribosomal RNA
Source: RNAcentral
UGGGGGAUAUUGCACAAUGGGCGAAAGCCUGAUGCAGCGACGCCGCGUGGGGGAUGAAGGCUUUCGGGUUGUAAACCUCUUUCGCUAUCGAACAAGGCCCGCUUAGGGUGGGUUGAGGGUAGGUGGAGAAGAAGCGCCGGCUAACUACGUGCCAGCAGCCGCGGUAAUACGUAGGGCGCGAGCGUUGUCCGGAAUUAUUGGGCGUAAAGGGCUUGUAGGCGGCUUGUUGCGCCUGCUGUGAAAACGCGGGGCUUAACUUCGCGCGUGCAGUGGGUACGGGCAGGAUUGAGUGUGGUAGGGGUGACUGGAAUUCCAGGUGUAGCGGUGGAAUGCGGAGAUAUCUGGAGAAACACCGAUGGCGAAGGCAGGUCACUGGGCCAUUACUGACGCUGAGGAGCGAAAGCAUGGGUAGCGAACAGG